Molecule: ribosomal RNA, 253 nt
Filed under: uncultured bacterium
Lineage: Bacteria
Description: partial 16S ribosomal RNA
Rfam family: Bacterial small subunit ribosomal RNA
Source: RNAcentral
UACGGGGGGGGCAAGCGUUGUUCGGAAUUACUGGGCGUGAAGGGCUCGUAGGUGGCCAACUAAGUCAGACGUGAAAUCCCUCGGCCUAACCGAGGAACUGCGUCCGAUACUGCGAUGCUUGAGGAUCAGAGGGGUGCAUGGAAUUUCCGGUGGAGCGGUGAAAUGCGUUGAUAUCGGAAGGAACUCCGGCGGCGAAAGCGAUGCACUGGCUGAUUUCUGACGCUGAGGUGCGAAAGCCAGGGGAGCAAACGGG